RNAcentral lists this long non-coding RNA (1788 nucleotides) under Mytilus galloprovincialis (Mediterranean mussel). The record is from RNAcentral. Lineage: Eukaryota; Metazoa; Mollusca; Bivalvia; Mytilida; Mytilidae.
GCAAAAUCAAUGUUUUUAAAAUGAGUCCUGCAAAAUUUACAUUUUUUGUGAAAAGCGCGAAAAACUACUUCCGUGCAGCUGUUGUGUCUUAUCCAUUUAGCAUUAAUAUUGGAUGAAAAGUAAGUUAAUACCAUGAAUUCAAUUUUAAACAAUUAACGGAUUAAAAGUAUUUAGUAAAACCCAAAUUAUACACAUUCAACAAUCAUGUCAUUUUACAUUGUUUUCAAUUGAAGUGUUUCAAUACUUUUUUCCUGGUGUAUAGAUAAAACAAACAGCUAUUGUUAAUUUAACUACAAAUAGAAAUGUAGAAAAACAUGGCCAUUGGCAUUACAAAUCGACAUACAGACAACUAUGUGUUUAAAGAAAGAAGACAGACAUCAACCCAAAAUACUUGACAGAAUCUAACGGAUGAUCAACAAAAACACCACGAUAGACGUUAACAAAUGGUACUUGUGAUGUAUUCUUUUCAUUGUCCGCAUUAUGUUUACCUGACAGUUAUAUGUAUUGUAAAUCGAAUUUAAAAUUCAAAAUGUCAUUAGAUGAAUGAAAAGACAGAGCAAGGAAGAAGUUAAAACGAGAUCGUUUCAAUCGAACAACAAAUUGCCAAAAGAGGGGCGAAAGAUACCAGAGGGACAUUCCAAUUGUCAUAGUCAAAAGCUCAAACACAUCAAAAGAACAACUGUCACAUUCCUGACUUGGUAUAGGCAUUUUCUUGUGUAGAAAAUGGUCGAUAAAACCUGGUUUUAAGGCUAGUUCAAAGGAGUAGGUCUGUUUAGGGCCGAUUUUUGGCCUCAAAUUUCAGGUUCAUCUGACGAAAGAUUUUGGACACGUUUUAAACACUUAAGUGUCUAAUUCAGUUGAUUCAAUUAGUUUAUGUGAAAGAUUUAACUGAUUUACUCCUUAAAAACGCUCCAAUUCUAGCUUAAAUAUGAAUUGUGAAGAUUUCAGCCCAUAUUCAUGUAGCAGAAUCAUUCUACUUUCCAAUAAAUAAUUAAAAGUUACGUUUUAACAAUUUUGUAAAACUGCUAUAUUUUAGGGCCAACAAGGAUCUUACUGGUCCUACUCCUUUAUGAAUGAUCCAGAAACGAAAGUUUCAACUCCUUCAGGCAAAUGUUACCCUUGAUGAUUUCGCUAUUAAAUGUAUUGUAUUGCCUUUAUUGUCAUAUAUCAUAAAAGCUCUUUUAACUGUUUUUGGUUCUAUGCAUUUUCAGCUUUCAAAUAUUCAAUAAACUCAUCAUAGAUACAAGAAUUGAAAGCGUAACUAUAAACACACUGUAAAUGAAGACCGUAGUAGAACGGAAAUUCAUAAAUCGAUCAAGAGAAAACACAUCAAGGUUACAAACUAGAACCGGGGGAAACACGUCAACUAUAUAUAAGAGGAAAACAACGAAACAACGGAACACUGAAGUGAAACAAACGGCAAUGCAAAAUACAUAAAAACGAACUAUUAAAUAACAACAGCAAUAUUCCUGACUUGAUACAGGACGUUUUAAGAAAAGAAUAGUGGGUUGAACCUGGUUUUGCGACUAGCCGAACCUCGUAAGCGCAAAGCUGAGUGUAUGCGUUCAUGAUGAAGAUAUAUCAAGAAAUGCGCUUUGGUCGCUUGAAGAUCAUACAGUGUUGUUUUUAUUUUUUACAGAACGGUUGGUGGUAUGUCACCGUAAGAGUGCCAUCAGCUCAGAAGUCGGUACUUCGUUGCUGUUAUGAUUUAUAACUAGUCUUUCUUAAAUUACCAAUUAGUAUAUUUUAUAAAUUGUUAAGAAACUAAGGUUUCAUCUAAUUCAGGCA